Molecule: ribosomal RNA, 229 nt
Filed under: uncultured bacterium
Lineage: Bacteria
Description: partial 16S ribosomal RNA
Rfam family: Bacterial small subunit ribosomal RNA
Source: RNAcentral
CGGGGUGAGUAAUGUCUGGGAAACUGCCUGAUGGAGGGGGAGAACUGCUGGAAACGGUAGCUAAUACCGCAUAACGUCGCAAGACCAAAGAGGGGGACCUUCGGGCCUCUUGCCAUCGGAUGUGCCCAGAUGGGAUUAGCUAGUAGGUGGGGUAACGGCUCACCUAGGCGACGAUCCCUAGCUGGUCUGAGAGGAUGGCCAGCCACACUGGAACUGAGACACGGUCCAG